RNAcentral lists this ribosomal RNA (497 nucleotides) under uncultured bacterium. RNAcentral describes it as "partial 16S ribosomal RNA". It matches the Rfam family "Bacterial small subunit ribosomal RNA", at positions 28 to 507 of the family's 1533-position model. The record is from RNAcentral.
GACGAACGCUGGCGGCGUGCCUAAUACAUGCAAGUAGAACGCUGAAGAGAGGAGCUUGCUCUUCUUGGAUGAGUUGCGAACGGGUGAGUAACGCGUAGGUAACCUGCCUUGUAGCGGGGGAUAACUAUUGGAAACGAUAGCUAAUACCGCAUAACAAUGGAUGACACAUGUCAUUUAUUUGAAAGGGGCAAUUGCUCCACUACAAGAUGGACCUGCGUUGUAUUAGCUAGUAGGUGAGGUAAUGGCUCACCUAGGCGACGAUACAUAGCCGACCUGAGAGGGUGAUCGGCCACACUGGGACUGAGACCCGGCCCAGACUCCUUCGGGAGGCAGCAGUAGGGGAUCUUCGGCAAUGGGGGCAACCCUGACCGAGCAACGCCGCGGGAGUGAAGAAGGUUUUCGGAUCGUAAAGCUCUGUUGUAAGUCAAGAACGGGUGUGAGAGUGGAAAGUUCACACUGUGACGGUAGCUUACCAGAAAGGGACGGCUAACUACGUG